GCGCCAGUGGCUCAGUUGGAUAGAGCAACGGACUUCUAAUCCGUAGGCCGGGGGUUCGAAUCCCUCCUGGCGCGCCA
RNAcentral lists this transfer RNA (77 nucleotides) under bacterium. RNAcentral describes it as "tRNA-Arg". It matches the Rfam family "tRNA". Rfam says of the family: Transfer RNA (tRNA) molecules are approximately 80 nucleotides in length. Their secondary structure includes four short double-helical elements and three loops (D, anti-codon, and T loops). The record is from RNAcentral. RNAcentral also lists the same sequence under 1 other name.